GAUGAAGAACGCAGCGAAAUGCGAUAAGUAGUGUGAAUUGCAGAAUUCAGUGAAUCAUCGAAUCUUUGAACGCACAUUGCGCCCCUUGGUAUUCCAUGGGGCAUGCCUGUUCGAGCGUCAUUUGUACCUUCAAGCUCUGCUUGGUGUUGGGUGUUUGUCCUCGCUCCUCUGGGGUAGGACUCGCCUUAAAGUAAUUGGCAGCCGGCCUACUGGUUUCGGAGCGCAGCACAAGUCGCACUCUCUAUCAGCAAAGGUCUAGCAUCCAUUAAGCCUUUUUUUCAACUUUUGACCUCGGAUCAGGUAGGGAUACCCGCUGAACUUAAGCAUAUCAAUAAGCGGAGGA
This 343-nucleotide unclassified non-coding RNA is filed under the name soil metagenome. RNAcentral's name for it is "partial contains 5.8S ribosomal RNA, internal transcribed spacer 2, and large subunit ribosomal RNA". The stretch from base 1 to 120 matches the Rfam family "5.8S ribosomal RNA", at positions 35 to 154 of the family's 154-position model. The record is from RNAcentral.